This 68-nucleotide transfer RNA is filed under the name Didemnum perlucidum. RNAcentral's name for it is "tRNA-Met". Lineage: Eukaryota; Metazoa; Chordata; Ascidiacea; Aplousobranchia; Didemnidae. The record is from RNAcentral.
UACAAGUUAAACUAAGUGAAAGUUAUAGGGCUCAUGUUCCUAAUAUAUAAUAUUUUUUAUACUUGUAU